GACGAACGCUGGCGGCGUGCUUAACACAUGCAAGUCGAGGGCACUAUUGGGGCAACCUGGUAGUGACCGGCGAACGGGUGCGUAACACGUGAGCGACCUUGCCUCGUGGUGGGGGAUAGCCGGCCCAACGGCCGGGUAAUACCGCAUAUGGUAGUUUCUUCGCAUGAGGAGACUAGCAAAGCCUUGGAGCAAUCCAAUGGCGCCACAGGGGGGGC
This 215-nucleotide ribosomal RNA is filed under the name uncultured bacterium. Its description in RNAcentral is "partial 16S ribosomal RNA". It matches the Rfam family "Bacterial small subunit ribosomal RNA", at positions 28 to 230 of the family's 1533-position model. The record is from RNAcentral.